AUGGGAAGAACAUGUGUGUUUGUUCAUCAUGGGGACAAAGACGCCAUUUUGAAAGGCAAUAUAGAACCGGACCCGGAUGAGCUUGACAUGGUGUUUGAUAGUAGUCCUAGCUAUGCGGAGCUCUUGCAACAAGUUAGGAAAGAUUUGAAUUGGAUGGACCCUAGUGAUAUUAUUGAGUUGGAGGGAAGGCAUAAUGUUGGUUUUGGAAUGCACAUCCGUUGGAAGACAAUGCGUGUCAACUCGGAGCAACGUUGGGUUGCAUACAAGGAGACGGUGGCCGAAUCACUAGACAAGGCUCUUGAGUUAUUUGCAACGAAGAAGGUUGAUUCAAGUUUGCAUUUGGACUUGAACCGGAACCCCUCCCCUUAG
RNAcentral lists this ribosomal RNA (369 nucleotides) under Triticum aestivum (bread wheat). Its description in RNAcentral is "partial small subunit ribosomal RNA". Lineage: Eukaryota; Viridiplantae; Streptophyta; Magnoliopsida; Poales; Poaceae. The record is from RNAcentral.